Molecule: non-coding RNA, 74 nt
Organism: Potamilus streckersoni
Lineage: Eukaryota; Metazoa; Mollusca; Bivalvia; Unionida; Unionidae
Source: the annotation of a GenBank genome assembly
UGAACCAUGGCCUAGUGGUUAGAGCGUCCGCCUUGGAUGCGGGAGGCCAUGGGUUCGAUCACCGGUCGAGUCAU